GACGAACGCUGGCGGCGUGCUUAACACAUGCAAGUCGAACGGAAAGGCCCUGCUUUUGUGGGGUGCUCGAGUGGCGAACGGGUGUGUAACACGUGAGUAACCUGCCCUUGACUUUGGGAUAACUUCAGGAAACUGGGGCUAAUACCGGAUAGGAGCUCCUGCUGCAUGGUGGGGGUUGGAAAGUUUCGGCGGUUGGGGAUGGACUCGCGGCUUAUCAGCUUGUUGGUGGGGUAGUGGCUUACCAAGGCUUUGACGGGUAGCCGGCCUGAGAGGGUGACCGGCCACAUGGGGACUGAGAUACGGCCCAGACUCCUACGGGAGGCAGCAGUGGGGAAUAUUGCACAAUGGGCGGAAGCGUGAUGCAGCAACGCCGCGUGCGGGAUGACGGCCUUCGGGUUGUAAACCGCUUUCGCCUGUGACGAAGCGUGAGUGACGGUAAUGGGUAAAGAAGCACCGGCUAACUACGU
Molecule: ribosomal RNA, 467 nt
Filed under: uncultured bacterium
Lineage: Bacteria
Description: partial 16S ribosomal RNA
Rfam family: Bacterial small subunit ribosomal RNA
Source: RNAcentral